AGCAACGCGCAGAACCUUACCAACCCUUGACAUGGCGAUCGCGGGACCAGAGAUGGUUCUUUCAGUUCGGCUGGAUCGCACACAGGUGCUGCAUGGCUGUCGUCAGCUCGUGUCGUGAGAUGUUCGGUUAAGUCCGGCAACGAGCGCAACCCACACUCUUAGUUGCCAUCAUUCAGUUGGGCACUCUAGGAGAACUGCCGGUGAUAAGCCGGAGGAAGGUGUGGAUGACGUCAAGUCCUCAUGGCCCUUACGGGUUGGGCUACACACGUGCUACAAUGGUGGUGACAAUGGGUUAAUCCCCAAAAGCCAUCUCAGUUCGGAUUGGGGUCUGCAACUCGACCCCAUGAAGUCGGAAUCGCUAGUAAUCGCGUAAC
This 374-nucleotide ribosomal RNA is filed under the name uncultured Rhodobacter sp. RNAcentral describes it as "bacterial SSU rRNA". It matches the Rfam family "Bacterial small subunit ribosomal RNA", at positions 955 to 1350 of the family's 1533-position model. Lineage: Bacteria; Pseudomonadati; Pseudomonadota; Alphaproteobacteria; Rhodobacterales. The record is from RNAcentral.